This 273-nucleotide long non-coding RNA is filed under the name Fragaria vesca (wild strawberry). Its description in RNAcentral is "long non-coding RNA (FVES_LNC002930)". Lineage: Eukaryota; Viridiplantae; Streptophyta; Magnoliopsida; Rosales; Rosaceae. The record is from RNAcentral.
CUCCUUCUAGAGGGGGCAUGGCCAGCCUCCCCUAACACUAAAUUGUUGCUCCGUCUAGGGGGGGCAUGGCCAAUCUCCCCUGACAUGAAAUUGUUGCUCCGUCUAGGGGGGGCAUGGCCAAUCUCCCCUGACAAGACAUUGUUGCUCCGUCUGGGGGCACGACUUGUCUCAACAUUAUUACUUGUUGCUCGAUAAAGUAGACCACUGCGAUGGGAUCUGCUCUCUGAUACAGUGUUGUUCCUUCUCGUGGGAGAGACUGUGUUAUUGUCUUGG